GAUGAACGCUGACAGAAUGCUUAACACAUGCAAGUCAACUUGAAUUUGGGUUUUUAACUUCGGUUUGGGUGGCGGACGGGUGAGUAACGCGUAAAGAACUUGCCUCACAGCUAGGGACAACAUUUGGAAACGAAUGCUAAUACCUAAUAUUAUGAUAAUAGGGCAUCCUAUAAUUAUGAAAGCUAUAAGCGCUGUGAGAGAGCUUUGCGUCCCAUUAGCUAGUUGGAGAGGUAACGGCUCACCAAGGCGAUGAUGGGUAGCCGGCCUGAGAGGGUGAUCGGCCACAAGGGGACUGAGACACGGCCCUUACUCCUACGGGAGGCAGCAGUGGGGAAUAUUGGACAAUGGACCGAGAGUCUGAUCCAGCAAUUCUGUGUGCACGAUGAAGUUUUUCGGAAUGUAAAGUGCUUUCAGUUGGGAAGAAACAAAUAACGGUACCAACAGAAGAAGUGACGGCUAAAUACGUG
RNAcentral lists this ribosomal RNA (467 nucleotides) under uncultured bacterium. RNAcentral's name for it is "partial 16S ribosomal RNA". It matches the Rfam family "Bacterial small subunit ribosomal RNA", at positions 28 to 507 of the family's 1533-position model. The record is from RNAcentral.